AGGAUUAACGCUGGCGGCGUACAUGAAACAUGCAAGUCGAGCGCGGCGCGUGGCUUCGGUCACGCGUCUAGCGGCGCACGGGUGAGUAACACGUGAGCAACCUACCUUCGAGUUCGGGAUAGCCCUGGGAAACCAGGAUUAAUACCGGAUGUGGUCACAACGGGACAUCCCGAUGUGAAAAAAGGCGCAAGCCGCUCGAUGACGGGCUCGCGGCCUAUUAGCUUGUUGGUGGGGUAACGGCCUACCAAGGCGACGAUGGGUAGC
This 264-nucleotide ribosomal RNA is filed under the name uncultured bacterium. RNAcentral's name for it is "partial small subunit ribosomal RNA". It matches the Rfam family "Bacterial small subunit ribosomal RNA", at positions 26 to 287 of the family's 1533-position model. The record is from RNAcentral.